Molecule: non-coding RNA, 845 nt
Filed under: Synallactes sp. Y30071
Lineage: Eukaryota; Metazoa; Echinodermata; Holothuroidea; Aspidochirotida; Synallactidae
Source: RNAcentral
UAAAAGCUUGGUUCUGGCUUAAAACUAAGCUGAUUUCUAAUCUGCCACAUGCAAGUCUAUAGACGAACCAGCAAGAAACAAAAAUACAGGUAAGAAAACUAAUUCCCCUACCUAAGAUAAGUAAAAUUUACAUAACUAUUAUAAAACUUGCGACCGCAGUGCUUAAUUUUAUUAAAUCUGCAAAAACAGGAAAUAGAUAAGGAAAAAAGGGAUGGUUAAUAACGUGCCAGCAACCGCGGUUAUACGUUAAUCCCAAGUUUAGAAACCCGGUAAAAGGAGGAAAGGUUAAACAACUAUUACCUAAGAGCUAUUAACCCAGCAGUAAUAAGCUAAAUAAAUUGAAAUUAAGUAAAAUAACCCAACCAAAAAAAUAGGGCAUAAACUGGGAUUAGAUACCCCACUAUACCUAUUAGUAAAAACCUAAACACCAGAGAAGUACGGCCAAAAAGCUAAAACUUAAAGAACUUGGCGGUUUUUUAGACCUACUCAGAGGAGCUUGUCAUCAAAUUGAUAACCCACAAGGAACCUCACCAUUCCUAGUACAACACCAGUCUGUAUACCAUCGUCGUCAGUUCACCUCGACAAAGAAAGUGAUCAAAAAGGUAAUGAGCCUCAACGUCAGAUCAAGGUGCAGCCAAUGGAAUGGGGAUAGAUGAGCUACUAUAUUUUAUAACAGAGGAACUUGAAUUGAAAAAACAAAAGAAAAAGGAUUUGAUAGUAAUAUAAGCUACAGAGGAAUUAUAUGAAAAAAGCUCUAAAAUGCGCACACAUCGCCCGUCACUCUCGUCAAUCGAGGAGAAAAGUCGUAACAUAGUAGGUGUACCGGAAGGAGCACCUAGAUAAAC